GUGUGUGGUGUGUGUGGUGUGUGGUGCGUGUGCUGUGUGGUGUGUGGUGUGUGUGUAUCUUCUGGUCUGAACGCCCCUGAGCCCUUUGCGGUGGCCGUGGCUGCAGUGCUACGGAGCCAGAGCAUCACAGCACCACCGUCCAGCAGUGACAAGACCCAGCUGCGCGUGGACGGGCCCCCCUCAGCCCCGCGCGUGGACAGCCCCCCUCAGCCCCGCGCGUGGACGGGCCAAGUGGCAUGUGACUGCACUUCUCCUUCUUCCCGCGGGCCCUCCUCGCUCCCUUCUGCCAGAGGUUCCCUUCCACCCGGGCAUGCUGGGCUUUCUCUGGCCGCCUGUUUCCCGUUUGGCCACCCUGCGCUGACCGCCGCUCUGGCCUGCCCUGCGCUGACCGCCGCUCUGGCCUGCCCUGCGCUGACCGCCGCUCUGGCCUGCCCUGCGCUGACCGCCGCUCUGGCCUGCCCUGGGCCUCCGUGAGGCCCUGGCUCCGCCCCGAGGGCUGCAGCCUCCGGCUCUUCCUGUCGUUCUCCUGCACAACACUGCGCCGGACUGGCACCGUGAAGGAAUGAAUGAGAAGGAAGGUGCUUUCCUGGAUCUGACAUCAGGGCCGAGACCAGCGACCACUUUCUUGGCUGACGGACGAGGAGGCUGACACAAAACCGAGGCGCGAUUCAGCUGAUCUGAGACAGCAGCUAACCAAGGAACCACCUGGAGAACACGCUUCUGGAUCGGCGUCUACACCCGCGCAAACCUCCAGGGCCUGUGCCGCAGACCGGCGGUCGUGGCGAGGCCGCGUGGGAGCUGUGUGCAAGGACUGGGCGUCGCCGCGUCCUGCAGACGGUGCGGCAAGAUGCCUGGUUGCUGGGAAGAAAAUGUGCCCAGAACCAGGCGCUUUGCCCAGACGGCUUGGCUACAGGCAGCUCCGCCGCCGUACUGGUGCUGCUCGGUCAGGAGUGACGGCUGGGCGUCCGCGGCCUGGCAACCCUCGGCAGGCGUCCCUGGACGCAGAACGUCCCCUGCACAGGCGGGAUGCAGUCACCCUGAGGGCAUCGUCCCUGCAGAAGCGGGGCAGUGGAUGAGCUGCCCAUUCCAGAGCAGACCCAGCUGGCGCCCGUCCCCUGGGCUCCCCACGGCGCGAGAAUGACUCGCGUGACACGGUGCUGGUGUCAAGCCUCACACCCAGAGCCCCACAGGGCAGCGCCAAGCACACUACAUGGGCAGCUGCCCAUGUUUGUGCAAAGCCCUGAUGCCCGUUGCCACAGAAACGGGGCGUGCCCCGAAUCACAGGCCCUAACUCUCACCAACAGAAAUGGGUCAAAUCAAUAAAUAAACUAAUAGUAUCCCAUAAAGGAAAUACACUGGGAAUAAUAUACCUCUCUCGAUUGGGAGAGGUCCAGCCAAAGAAAGCCACCAACGUCCCAGAGAGCAGAUGGUCCCGGAAGGAAGGAAAGCAGCGGUGACAGCGGGGAGUCUGAGAUAGUUGUUUGCCCGGAAUGUUUACCCCAGAGCCUGCUUGGCCUUAACCCCACAGCCCUCGUCACUAGUGGUCUGACAACCACGAGGCCAUUGUCGUUCAAUGUCUUGGUUUCAGCUGCGGCUUUGUGUCCUUGCUAGAGCUGUCAUCCCUGAGUUAACAAGCAGAGCCUUCUGUGGGCUAGCAUCCGGGCCGUGGGAGGGCUUGCUGCACGCUGAGGGCCUCACAGCGCCAGGAACCCCAGGGGCCGGUGUCCAUGAUGGAGCUGGAGCAGCCCCGCAGUGCUCUGCCUUGCAGCAGCGCAUGGAGACACGACAGACAGAAGUAAACAGGGAUCUGGGGUUUGGACUGAGGUCAAUCCCAGACUCAUGGAACCGUCAUCAUAAAGUGACAAGGAGAUAUUUACAAAUCAUGCACUUCUUAAUAAUUGUUUUUGUCCUUUCAAAGGCUCAAUAUUUUACCAAUUUCAGCCAAUGGGAUCCUCUUGGAUUGCUGUCCUGUGGUGACUAUGCCACACUGCUCUCGAUCCAGUGAGAAGGAUUAUUGUUCUCUUUUCAUUUCAGAGUCAUUGACAUUCUCGAGAAACAACCUGGGGUGUUUAAUAUUCUAGUCAUACUGAAAAUCCUGCCUGGUUUGCCCGACUGUAUUUCACAGACCAGUGUAAGGAAGGAAUUAUUUUAAAAAACAGCAAAACAGAGAUUUUUACACACUCAAAUUCAUACAAUGUAGUGUUUCCCAGCAUUUGGCUGACUUCAGACUACUUACGCUAGGAAAAUCAUGGGUCAGGUCAGAGAUUUGGAAACGCUUUGAUGAUAAUUUAUUAUUGUCCAAUAUAAUUCAUGACUUGAUUGCUGA
Molecule: non-coding RNA, 2326 nt
Organism: Microcebus murinus (gray mouse lemur)
Lineage: Eukaryota; Metazoa; Chordata; Mammalia; Primates; Cheirogaleidae
Source: RefSeq, a predicted model, not a curated record